CUGUGCAAAGGUAGCAUAAUCAUUAGUUUUUUAAUUGAAAGCUGGAAUGAAUGGUUUAAUAAGAAAAAUUCUGUCUCAUUUUUAAGUUUAAAAUUUUAUUUUUAAGUUAAAAAGCUUAAAUUUAUUAAAAAGACGAGAACACCCUUUAGAGUUUUAUAAGAAAAAAUUGAUUAUUAUUUAGAUUUAAAUUUAAAAUUGGUUUUUAUUAUUUUAUUGGGGUGAUUUAAAAAUUUAAGUAACUUUUUAUUUAUUUUAUCAUUAAUUUAUGUAUAAAUGAUCUUGAUUUUUGGAUUAUAAGAAUAAUUACCUUAGGGAUAACAGCGUAAUUUUUUUUGAGAGUUCUUAUCGAAAAAGAAGUUUGCGACCUCGAUGUUGGAUUAAAAUUAAAUUUUGCCGUAGAAGUUAAAAAUUUAGGUCUGUUCGACCUUUAAAAUU
This 435-nucleotide ribosomal RNA is filed under the name Nacerdes katoi. Its description in RNAcentral is "partial 16S ribosomal RNA". The stretch from base 314 to 435 matches the Rfam family "Bacterial large subunit ribosomal RNA", at positions 2473 to 2595 of the family's 2925-position model. The record is from RNAcentral. Lineage: Eukaryota; Metazoa; Arthropoda; Insecta; Coleoptera; Oedemeridae.